This 2923-nucleotide ribosomal RNA is filed under the name Klebsiella pneumoniae. RNAcentral's name for it is "bacterial LSU rRNA". It matches the Rfam family "Bacterial large subunit ribosomal RNA". Lineage: Bacteria; Pseudomonadati; Pseudomonadota; Gammaproteobacteria; Enterobacterales; Enterobacteriaceae. RNAcentral also lists the same sequence under 1 other name. The record is from RNAcentral.
GGGUUGUGAGGUUAAGCGACUAAGCGUACACGGUGGAUGCCCUGGCAGUCAGAGGCGAUGAAGGACGUGCUAAUCUGCGAAAAGCGUCGGUAAGGUGAUAUGAACCGUUACAGCCGGCGAUGUCCGAAUGGGGAAACCCAGUGCAAUUCGUUGCACUAUCGUUAACUGAAUACAUAGGUUAACGAGGCGAACCGGGGGAACUGAAACAUCUAAGUACCCCGAGGAAAAGAAAUCAACCGAGAUUCCCCCAGUAGCGGCGAGCGAACGGGGAGCAGCCCAGAGUCUGAAUCAGCUUGUGUGUUAGUGGAACGGUCUGGAAAGUCCGACGGUACAGGGUGAUAGUCCCGUACACCAAAAUGCACAGGCUGUGAACUCGAAGAGUAGGGCGGGACACGUGGUAUCCUGUCUGAAUAUGGGGGGACCAUCCUCCAAGGCUAAAUACUCCUGACUGACCGAUAGUGAACCAGUACCGUGAGGGAAAGGCGAAAAGAACCCCGGCGAGGGGAGUGAAAAAGAACCUGAAACCGUGUACGUACAAGCAGUGGGAGCACCUUCGGGUGUGACUGCGUACCUUUUGUAUAAUGGGUCAGCGACUUAUAUUCUGUAGCAAGGUUAACCGUAUAGGGGAGCCGCAGGGAAACCGAGUCUUAACUGGGCGUUAAGUUGCAGGGUAUAGACCCGAAACCCGGUGAUCUAGCCAUGGGCAGGUUGAAGGUUGGGUAACACUAACUGGAGGACCGAACCGACUAAUGUUGAAAAAUUAGCGGAUGACUUGUGGCUGGGGGUGAAAGGCCAAUCAAACCGGGAGAUAGCUGGUUCUCCCCGAAAGCUAUUUAGGUAGCGCCUCGUGAAUUCAUCUUCGGGGGUAGAGCACUGUUUCGGCUAGGGGGUCAUCCCGACUUACCAACCCGAUGCAAACUACGAAUACCGAAGAAUGUUAUCACGGGAGACACACGGCGGGUGCUAACGUCCGUCGUGAAGAGGGAAACAACCCAGACCGCCAGCUAAGGUCCCAAAGUCAUGGUUAAGUGGGAAACGAUGUGGGAAGGCACAGACAGCCAGGAUGUUGGCUUAGAAGCAGCCAUCAUUUAAAGAAAGCGUAAUAGCUCACUGGUCGAGUCGGCCUGCGCGGAAGAUGUAACGGGGCUAAACCAUGCACCGAAGCUGCGGCAGCGACACUAUGUGUUGUUGGGUAGGGGAGCGUUCUGUAAGCCUGCGAAGGUGACCUGUGAGGGUUGCUGGAGGUAUCAGAAGUGCGAAUGCUGACAUAAGUAACGAUAAAGCGGGUGAAAAGCCCGCUCGCCGGAAGACCAAGGGUUCCUGUCCAACGUUAAUCGGGGCAGGGUGAGUCGACCCCUAAGGCGAGGCCGAAAGGCGUAGUCGAUGGGAAACAGGUUAAUAUUCCUGUACUUGGUGUUACUGCGAAGGGGGGACGGAGAAGGCUAUGUUAGCCGGGCGACGGUUGUCCCGGUUUAAGCAUGUAGGCUGGUUAUCCAGGCAAAUCCGGAUAAUCAAGGCUGAGGUGUGAUGACGAGGCACUACGGUGCUGAAGUAACAAAUGCCCUGCUUCCAGGAAAAGCCUCUAAGCAUCAGGUAACAUCAAAUCGUACCCCAAACCGACACAGGUGGUCAGGUAGAGAAUACCAAGGCGCUUGAGAGAACUCGGGUGAAGGAACUAGGCAAAAUGGUGCCGUAACUUCGGGAGAAGGCACGCUGGUGUGUAGGUGAAGUCCCUGCGGAUGGAGCUGAGACCAGUCGAAGAUACCAGCUGGCUGCAACUGUUUAUUAAAAACACAGCACUGUGCAAACACGAAAGUGGACGUAUACGGUGUGACGCCUGCCCGGUGCCGGAAGGUUAAUUGAUGGGGUUAUCCGUAAGGAGAAGCUCUUGAUCGAAGCCCCGGUAAACGGCGGCCGUAACUAUAACGGUCCUAAGGUAGCGAAAUUCCUUGUCGGGUAAGUUCCGACCUGCACGAAUGGCGUAAUGAUGGCCAGGCUGUCUCCACCCGAGACUCAGUGAAAUUGAACUCGCUGUGAAGAUGCAGUGUACCCGCGGCAAGACGGAAAGACCCCGUGAACCUUUACUAUAGCUUGACACUGAACAUUGAGCCUUGAUGUGUAGGAUAGGUGGGAGGCUUUGAAGCGUGGACGCCAGUCUGCGUGGAGCCAACCUUGAAAUACCACCCUUUAAUGUUUGAUGUUCUAACGUUGGCCCCUUACCGGGGUUGCGGACAGUGUCUGGUGGGUAGUUUGACUGGGGCGGUCUCCUCCCAAAGCGUAACGGAGGAGCACGAAGGUUAGCUAAUCCUGGUCGGACAUCAGGAGGUUAGUGCAAUGGCAUAAGCUAGCUUGACUGCGAGCGUGACGGCGCGAGCAGGUGCGAAAGCAGGUCAUAGUGAUCCGGUGGUUCUGAAUGGAAGGGCCAUCGCUCAACGGAUAAAAGGUACUCCGGGGAUAACAGGCUGAUACCGCCCAAGAGUUCAUAUCGACGGCGGUGUUUGGCACCUCGAUGUCGGCUCAUCACAUCCUGGGGCUGAAGUAGGUCCCAAGGGUAUGGCUGUUCGCCAUUUAAAGUGGUACGCGAGCUGGGUUUAGAACGUCGUGAGACAGUUCGGUCCCUAUCUGCCGUGGGCGCUGGAGAAUUGAGGGGGGCUGCUCCUAGUACGAGAGGACCGGAGUGGACGCAUCACUGGUGUUCGGGUUGUCAUGCCAAUGGCACUGCCCGGUAGCUAAAUGCGGAAGAGAUAAGUGCUGAAAGCAUCUAAGCACGAAACUUGCCCCGAGAUGAGUUCUCCCUGAGACUUUAAGUCUCCUGAAGGAACGUUAAAGACGAUGACGUUGAUAGGCCGGGUGUGUAAGCGCAGCGAUGCGUUGAGCUAACCGGUACUAAUGAACCGUGAGGCUUAACCUUACAACGCCGAAG